AUGUAUCACGCGGCCUUUGCGGUUCUGAGCGCGCCGUCCACGCCCACCUGACGAUUGCUCGCGAGGUUUUUUAGCC
RNAcentral lists this small RNA (76 nucleotides) under Xanthomonas prunicola. RNAcentral's name for it is "sX9 sRNA". It matches the Rfam family "Xanthomonas sRNA sX9". Lineage: Bacteria; Pseudomonadati; Pseudomonadota; Gammaproteobacteria; Lysobacterales; Lysobacteraceae. The record is from RNAcentral.